RNAcentral lists this non-coding RNA (96 nucleotides) under Paraburkholderia tropica. The record is from RNAcentral. Lineage: Bacteria; Pseudomonadati; Pseudomonadota; Betaproteobacteria; Burkholderiales; Burkholderiaceae.
AUCAAUGGGCGGGCCUUGGCAGGGAGACGCGCAAGCGUCUGCCGGUUUGGUGUUGCACCCGGUCCGCCAACCUUGUCAAUGUGCCCGCUCACCCGC